Long non-coding RNA from Salvia splendens (bonfire salvia), 734 nucleotides. RefSeq lists it as uncharacterized. The transcript has 2 exons. Lineage: Eukaryota; Viridiplantae; Streptophyta; Magnoliopsida; Lamiales; Lamiaceae. The record is from RefSeq and is a predicted model, not a curated record.
CAAUUUCUUUCCAAUUCCCCCAUUCUCGGUUCUCUCUCCCCCUCUAUCUUCUUCUCCAUCUCUCUUUUCUUUCUCUCUCUCUGUUCAACCAUGAUCGACCCCAUAAACCCCCAAUUCCAGCUCCCGCCUCAUCGAUCCUCACGCCGGAGACUCCUGCUCGUCGGGAUUGCACGGUGUUGCUGUCACCGUGCGUGUUCGCCCCUCCGUCGUACUCCACGCCGCCGGAUGUCGCCGUCGCUGGGAGCCGCUGCUCCGUCGUCCUCGCUCCAAUUCAGACAGCAGCGGGCCAGCCGUGCGUCUCGGUCAACCGCUGCUGCUGCCUUCGUGGUGCGCUGCUGCCCGGUUGGCGGGGCAGCCCCAGUCCACCAUUCCUCUCGACUUCCCAUCGACAGCCGUUCGGCAGCCACCGAAACAACUCCGAACAGCCCCGAAAAUUGAAUUGUGGAAGAUGGAAGGUGAAGAAGUUGAAAAUGGAGUCUCAUGGUGGAAGAAUCAGCCAAGAAGGAAGAAAAAGAAGAAGAAAAGGUGUUGGGCUUGCUCCCACAUUUUUGGAAUUGAACUGGGCUCCCCCACUUUAAUUAAAUUUGUUUUGGGCUCAUUUAGUUACAAAGCCCAAAUUUGUAUAAUUAUUUAUUUGUUAGACUUUUUGAUUGUUAUGGCCCAAAGCCAUUUUUUCUUAUAAGAAUAUUGGACUCAAAUUUUUAUUUGAGAAGCCCAAGUAUAUUUAUACUUUA